GCAUCUGUAAACACCAGUGUCUGUUUCAUUUUGUAUUCUGAUACUGUGAGAACCUGAGGGAACUUUUUUUACUUAAUUGCAUAAAGUCAGCAUAAUCUCUGUACUCAAUUUUUAUUUCCUGUGUACAGCAACUGUGGCCUCCAACAAAGUGUUACCUGCAGCGCAAGUAAGUGGCCAUCAUGAGUUUGUAUGGCACCUGCAAUCCAUCAAAGCAACAAGACAAAACACACAGAAUAACAUCUAGAGAUAUCAUCCUGAUGUCACCAAUAUACUAGCUGAACCACAGAGAGCCAAAGGAAUAUCAAGAAUCUGCCAGAACCUCCCAAAUGAGGACAUCUAUGGCAUAUGAAGACAAGUUGAUGCCACUUUUUGAGCACUGUCCUGUAUGUCCAAGGAUGUGGACUGGGCAGUCACAUGUCAACAGAGUU
This is a long non-coding RNA of Scatophagus argus, 428 nucleotides long. RefSeq lists it as uncharacterized. Lineage: Eukaryota; Metazoa; Chordata; Actinopteri; Scatophagidae. The record is from RefSeq and is a predicted model, not a curated record. The transcript is spliced from 3 exons.